Molecule: transfer RNA, 73 nt
Filed under: archaeon
Lineage: Archaea
Description: tRNA-Thr
Rfam family: tRNA
About the family: Transfer RNA (tRNA) molecules are approximately 80 nucleotides in length. Their secondary structure includes four short double-helical elements and three loops (D, anti-codon, and T loops).
Source: RNAcentral
GCCGCAGUGGCUCAGUUGGUAGAGCGUUACAUUGGUAAUGUAAAGGUCCCGAGUUCGAAUCUCGGCUGUGGCU